UUGUUAUGAUUUUCAUCAAUGAUACUCUGACUGUAGGUAUAAAGCUGAGUUUAAGUGGUCCACCGGGGGAACCUCUGAGAGGUAAUUAUGGCGACCCCGAGGCAAACACAGGAUUGUAGUACAAUGGGUUGGAGGUCGGCUCGAAAGCCUUCACUCUUUAAUGAUCCCUCCGCAGGUUCACCUGUAAUCACGUUAGUAUAUGUUUUUCAUUUGCGCAGAAGACGGAAGUUGUUACUCACCUACGGAGA
This 248-nucleotide unclassified non-coding RNA is filed under the name uncultured fungus. RNAcentral describes it as "sequence contains ITS1". The record is from RNAcentral. Lineage: Eukaryota; Fungi.